Molecule: ribosomal RNA, 253 nt
Filed under: uncultured bacterium
Lineage: Bacteria
Description: partial 16S ribosomal RNA
Rfam family: Bacterial small subunit ribosomal RNA
Source: RNAcentral
UACGUAGGGGGCAAGCGUUGUCCGGAUUUAUUGGGCGUAAAGGGCGUGUAGGCGGUCAGGUAGGUCGGUUGUGAAAACUCGAGGCUUAACCUCGAGCUGUCGGCGGAAACCAUCUGGCUAGAGUCCGGAAGAGGAGAAUGGAAUUCCCGGUGUAGCGGUGAAAUGCGCAGAUAUCGGGAAGAACACCCGUGGCGAAGGCGGUUCUCUGGGACGGUACUGACGCUGAGACGCGAAAGCGUGGGGAGCGAACAGG